RNAcentral lists this ribosomal RNA (176 nucleotides) under uncultured Rhodocyclaceae bacterium. RNAcentral's name for it is "partial 16S ribosomal RNA". It matches the Rfam family "Bacterial small subunit ribosomal RNA", at positions 1209 to 1382 of the family's 1533-position model. The record is from RNAcentral. Lineage: Bacteria; Pseudomonadati; Pseudomonadota; Betaproteobacteria; Rhodocyclales; Rhodocyclaceae.
UAGGGCUUCACACGUCAUACAAUGGUCGGUACAGAGGGUUGCCAACCCGCGAGGGGGAGCUAAUCCCACAAAGCCGAAUCGUAGUCCGGAUCGUCAGUCUGCAACUCGACUGCGUGAAGUCGGAAUCGCUAGUAAUCGUGGAUCAGCAUGUCACGGUGAAUACGUUCCCGGGUCUU